This 295-nucleotide ribosomal RNA is filed under the name uncultured bacterium. RNAcentral's name for it is "partial 16S ribosomal RNA". It matches the Rfam family "Bacterial small subunit ribosomal RNA", at positions 28 to 311 of the family's 1533-position model. The record is from RNAcentral.
GAUGAACGCUAGCUACAGGCCUAACACAUGCAAGUCGAACGAAGCGACUGGAGGAAGUUUUCGGAUGGAAUCCGGUUGACUGAGUGGCGGACGGGUGAGUAACGCGUGGAUAACCUGCCUCACACUGGGGGAUAACAGUUAGAAAUGGCUGCCAAUACCGCAUAAGCGCACAGUACCGCAUGGUACGGUGUGAAAAACCCAGGUGGUGUGAGAUGGAUCCGCGUCUGAUUAGCCAGUUGGCGGGUAACGCCACAAAGCGACGAUCAGUAGCCGACCUGAGAGGGUGACCGGGCAC